Molecule: unclassified non-coding RNA, 197 nt
Filed under: fungal sp.
Lineage: Eukaryota; Fungi
Description: partial internal transcribed spacer region
Rfam family: Eukaryotic small subunit ribosomal RNA (bases 1-46)
Source: RNAcentral
AAGUCGUAACAAGGUUUCCGUAGGUGAACCUGCGGAAGGAUCAUUCUUUAAUAGAGUGGAAACACUUGAACUGUGAAUUUGUCUUUCAUGGCUAGUUCUUUGGAGUUAGCCAGCUGGCAGCAAUGUCAGAGAAUAUACAUUCCACCUUUAUUCUAAUUUAAAUUUAUAAACUUUUAACAAUGGAUCUCUUGGCUCUU